UUGGCGAAUAAGUGGUGGGUAAGASUGGUGCCAGCCGCCGCGGUAACACCAGCGCCACGAGUGGCAACCACGUUUAUUGGGCCUAAAGCGUCCGUAGCCGGUUUGKUAAAUCUUUUGUGAAAUCGUCAGGCUCAACCUGACGGCGCGCUGGAGACACUGCCGAACUCGAGACCGGGAGGAGUCAGAGGUAUUUCAGGGGGAGCGGUAAAAUGUUAUAAUCCCUGGAGGAUCACCUGUGGCGAAGGCGUCUGACCAGAACGGAUCUGACGGUGAGGGACGAAAGCUAGGGGAGCGAUCCGGAUUAGAUACCCGAGUAGUCCUAGCAGUAAACGCUGCGAGCAAGAUGUUGCGCAUCCUACGAGSAUGUGCAGUGUCGAAGAGAAGUCGUUAAGCUCGCCGCCUGG
This 404-nucleotide ribosomal RNA is filed under the name uncultured archaeon. Its description in RNAcentral is "bacterial SSU rRNA". It matches the Rfam family "Archaeal small subunit ribosomal RNA", at positions 428 to 831 of the family's 1478-position model. The record is from RNAcentral.